RNAcentral lists this ribosomal RNA (460 nucleotides) under uncultured bacterium. RNAcentral's name for it is "bacterial SSU rRNA". It matches the Rfam family "Bacterial small subunit ribosomal RNA", at positions 28 to 444 of the family's 1533-position model. The record is from RNAcentral.
GAUAAACGCUGGCGGCGCACAUAAGACAUGCAAGUCGAACGGAAGUCGUUUUAGUGAAUUUGAAAUGAAAGAUUUAUCCGGAUUUGACGAUGAUCUAAACAAUGGCUUUAGUGGCGGACUGGUGAGUAACACGUAAGCAACCUGCCUGUUAGAGGGGAAUAACAACGAGAAAUCGUUGCUAAUACCGCAUAUGCCAUAGAAACCACAUGGUUUUAGUGGGAAAGGAGUAAUCCGCUAACAGAUGGGCUUGCGUCUGAUUAGAUAGUUGGUGGGUAACGGCCUACCAAGUCUACGAUCAGUAGCCGGACUGAGAGGUUCAACGGCCACAUUGGGACUGAGAUACGGCCCAGACUCCUACGGGAGGCAGCAGUCGGGAAUAUUGCGCAAUGGAGGAAACUCUGACGCAGUGACGCCGCGUAUAGGAAGAAGGUUUUCGGAUUGUAAACUAUUGUCGAUAGGG